CACCGCCCGUCACACCAUGGGAAUUGGAUCUACCCGAAGGUGGUGCGCCAACCUCGCAAGAGGAGGCAGCCAACCACGGUAGGUUCAGUGACUGGGGUG
RNAcentral lists this ribosomal RNA (99 nucleotides) under uncultured bacterium. RNAcentral's name for it is "partial 16S ribosomal RNA". It matches the Rfam family "Bacterial small subunit ribosomal RNA", at positions 1388 to 1482 of the family's 1533-position model. The record is from RNAcentral.